AUGGAAUUUUCCUGGCAAGGAUACUGGAGUGGGUUGCCAUUUCCUCCUUCAGGGGCUCUUCCCUACCCAGGGAUCUUCCCUACCCAGGGAUCGAACCCUGGUCUCCUGCACUGCAGGCAGACUCUACCGCAUGAGCCACUAGGGAAAUUCCUCAGAGGCUGUGGAACGUUCUGGCAGGGGCAGAGCCCCUCCCCCGCACUGCCUCCUGCACAACAGCGGGGCGGAAGGAGCAGAGAGGGAGGGAGGCCUCUGAUUGGAGGAGGCUUGGUGAGAGGGCGGGGCGGUGGGCGUGUCCAACGGCCCCUGAAAAAGUCGUUGGGAUCCGUUAAGUUCCAGCGGCACCUCGCUCAUUUUUCUCUAAGGUGGCAUGAAGCUGACUUAGUUGGAGAACGGGCUUAUGGGGAUCUCCCCUUUCAGGAAGAUGAGAACUGCUAUAAGGAUUCAGGAAAACCCCUGAGGCCCAGGAUGUGGAGAACUGAGCGCCCCGUCCCUCACCGCCGGUUGGUUGUAGACGUUGUGGAGGGAGGGGUGCAAGGGGUUUUGUGCUCCCGGUCCCGCCAGGAGAUGGGCGGUGGUUGGAGAUGGGCCCCCAAGUCCUUCACAAGCCCCUUCCCCCUCGCCUCGGGGCUCAUCCGAGCAUUUCUCCGCUCUUUUCUCCCUUUACCUCUGUGUCUCUCUUGUGGGAAGAUUCCAUUCUUCCAUCCCAAGGAGGAGAGCCACUCGAAUGUCCUGAAAGACACUGGGACUCCGAGGACAGGAUGGGUCAGUCAAGCCAUAACAGAGCAUGGAGCCAGUUCCUUUGUCCACCCUGUCAUCUUCUAGGAACUAGGAAGCACCCUUCCUGGGUCCCUGCCCCAGUGGACUUCUCCAGUUCUUCCUUCCCAGCCGUUGCUGUGGCAUUAGCCAUCUGGAAAAAGAGCUGCUGGUAGGACCUGGGACUUUUGUUCACACCCAUAAGCCUUCCCUCCAGAUAUCCAGUACUUUGCCUUCAGGAAGGAGACUUGAACUUCAGGCAACAGGAGAAAACCAAACCUUCAAGGGCUUUGGUUCCCUCCAAGGCCAAGGUUCCCAAGAUCCUUGGUUAAGAGGUCUGGGCCACUGCCCUCCCGUCUUCACUCUUCUUUUCCCUGUUUGUCCCAGAGUUCUGCUAUAACCCCAAAGCUUUUCUGUUUACCAUCAACAUGGAAACUUGACUCUUCAUAUAGGUAUAUUUUCCCUCUUUUGUGCAUCAUCUUGUUCCCAAAAACUGCCUUUUCAUGAAGGAGGCUUGUGGGACUCAAGGGGCCUGGCCAGUCACCCAGGCUCCCCCGAAGCCUCAGACCACUGGUAAUGUGGAGAAGUUUAAUAAAGAUGUCAUUACUUCUUGACUUGU
This 1372-nucleotide transfer RNA is filed under the name Bos indicus x Bos taurus (hybrid cattle). RNAcentral describes it as "lncRNA (ENSBIXG00005009793.1)". Lineage: Eukaryota; Metazoa; Chordata; Mammalia; Artiodactyla; Bovidae. The record is from RNAcentral.